UUUAAAUGUAAAUUAAAUUAAAAAAAAAUACACUAAUGUCUAGCAAAGUGUCCUCCUGUGCCACAUCGUGGAGGGCUCCUUGUACGUUGUGGAUUUCGAAGGACAUCAACUUAUUGAACUACUAGAACUACUUCUGCCUCUCCUUCUAAUUCAGUAUUUCUUUCAAAAUCACUUUGACGAUCCUGAUCAUAACCAUAGCUAAAUUGUUGAUAUUGUUCUUGACUAAAUAAUAACUGAUAGAAGUCACUGAAAGAAUGCCUAGCAUAGCUUGUUGAAGCAUGCUGUGUAUCGUUAUGUGUAGAGGAAGACACAUGAAAAGCUGGUAUUUUAUAUUGAAUUGGUGUUGCGUCACUAAAUGGAGAGAUAGGUGGGCAAGUCUGUGGUGGUACCAUUAUAGAAGUGAAAUGAAUGGAAGGUUGUUCUUCAUGAGUAAAAUUAUACGAAUAUUCCAAAGUAGAGUGCAAAUUCCGCUCUACAGGCGUUGAAGAAGUUCAUGGACCAGCCAUAGUAGGAUCCACAGGAUACCAAUGGGUGACUGGUGGAGGGACUUGGAGUACAUUCUUCUGUAGAGGCACAUCAAUAGGAACAUGCCUUUGUGACAUGCCACGUCUCCUUCUUCGUCGUUGUUCUUAUGGCGUUUGCACAUGAGGUAUUUCCAUUGGCGGAGGGGCGAGUUGAAAUGGAAAAGUUAUAGUCGUGAGGUGUUCUUCGUUUAUUGCCCCCAACACACUGAAAACCCUUCAUCGAAUCAAUGGACAGGGUUAGGAGGAUGAUUAUGGUAAAUUAUCUACAUGGUGGAGUCCAUCCACCCAUAUGAGAGAAAAAAAAAACAUUAUUCACUUAAUAUCAUAUACUUAGAUAAAAAAUAAUAAAAAAGGCCAAUUUGUUUACUGUCAAUCUAAUUUGAGCACCCUCAGGGAAAAUCCAGCAUUUUGUUCAUUGCACAAACUAUUGUACAUUUCUUUUGACUUUAUUUAAACUAUCUAAAUUCAUAUUUACUCCCUGGUCAAGUAAUGUUAACACUAAUUUAUCAUGCGUGUUAACAUUUUCUUGAGUUUAAAUUUUUAUUACUACAUUAAAGUAAUAUAAAGUUACUGUUUCACUUAAAACAACAAUCUUUUUUCG
This 1125-nucleotide unclassified non-coding RNA is filed under the name Hevea brasiliensis (rubber tree). The record is from RNAcentral. Lineage: Eukaryota; Viridiplantae; Streptophyta; Magnoliopsida; Malpighiales; Euphorbiaceae.